RNAcentral lists this ribosomal RNA (408 nucleotides) under Fusobacteriota bacterium. Its description in RNAcentral is "Fusobacteria bacterium partial 16S ribosomal RNA". It matches the Rfam family "Bacterial small subunit ribosomal RNA", at positions 355 to 776 of the family's 1533-position model. Lineage: Bacteria; Fusobacteriati; Fusobacteriota. The record is from RNAcentral.
UGGGGAAUAUUGCACAAUGGACGGAAGUCUGAUGCAGCAACGCCGCGUGCGGGAUGACGGCCUUCGGGUUGUAAACCGCUUUUUCUCAUGACGAAGUUUUUUGACGGUAGUGGGGGAAGAAGCACCGGCUAACUACGUGCCAGCAGCCGCGGUGAUACGUAGGGUGCGAGCGUUGUCCGGAAUUAUUGGGCGUAAAGAGCUUGUAGGCGGUUUGUCGCGUCGAUAGUGCAAACUCAGUGCUUAACGCUGAGCCUGCUGUUGAUACGGGCAGACUAGAGGAAGGUAGGCGAGAAUGGAAUUCCCGGUGGAGCGGUGGAAUGCGCAGAUAUCGGGAGGAACACCGGUGGCGAAGGCGGUUCUCUGGGCCUUUCCUGACGCUGAGAAGCGAAAGCGUGGGGAGCGAACAGG